CAGGAUUUCUCAUCUGUGCGACGAACGUGCCCUGGUCUGAGUCUGUCGCGUUACGGAGAGUCAAGGAGAAAGCCCUGCCCUUUAGGGCGGGGAGGAUGUCCAGUGGCUUCC
This 111-nucleotide unclassified non-coding RNA is filed under the name Halogranum amylolyticum. Its description in RNAcentral is "HgcC family RNA". The record is from RNAcentral. Lineage: Archaea; Methanobacteriati; Methanobacteriota; Halobacteria; Halobacteriales; Haloferacaceae.